This 118-nucleotide transfer RNA is filed under the name Candidatus Woesearchaeota archaeon. RNAcentral describes it as "tRNA-Thr". It matches the Rfam family "tRNA". From Rfam's summary of the family: Transfer RNA (tRNA) molecules are approximately 80 nucleotides in length. Their secondary structure includes four short double-helical elements and three loops (D, anti-codon, and T loops). Lineage: Archaea; Nanobdellati; Candidatus Woesearchaeota. The record is from RNAcentral.
GCCCCUGUAGCAUAGCGGCUAAUGCGCCGGUUUCGUAAACCGGAGACCGGGAGUUCAAACAUACUCACUAGCGUUCGUAGCUUUCAACGCUAGGAGGUUGAAAGUCUCCCCAGGGGCU